RNAcentral lists this small RNA (140 nucleotides) under Marinobacter orientalis. RNAcentral's name for it is "Marinobacter sp. W62 RtT sRNA". It matches the Rfam family "RtT RNA". From Rfam's summary of the family: This family represents a bacterial cis-regulatory element known as RtT RNA. The exact function of RtT is unknown although it is thought that it may be involved in changing the cellular response in relation to amino acid starvation. Lineage: Bacteria; Pseudomonadati; Pseudomonadota; Gammaproteobacteria; Pseudomonadales; Marinobacteraceae. The record is from RNAcentral.
UUGCUAUGUAUAGCUGGGAGGAUUUGAACCGAAAGAGGUUCGACCGAAGCGCACGAAGUGUGCUGAGGAACGCCGGAGCAUAGCGACGGCGGCCCGAAGGGUGAGGGCCGCAGGCCCGAAUAAUCCUCCCAGCCGCGCCA